UAGGGAAUCUUCCGCAAUGGACGAAAGUCUGACGGAGCAACGCCGCGUGAGUGAAGAAGGAUUUCGGUUCGUAAAACUCUGUUGUUAGGGAAGAAAAAAUGUAUAGUAACUAUAUACAAAAGAGACGGUACCUAACCAGAAAGCCACGGCUAACUACGUGCCAGCAGCCGCGGUAAUACGUAGGUGGCAAGCUUUGUCCGGAAUUAUUGGGCGUAAAGCGCGCGCAGGUGGUUUAGAAAGUCUGAUGUGAAAGCCCACGGCUAAACCGUGGAGGAUCAUUGGAAGCUAAUAAACUUGAGUGCAGGAGAGAAAAGUGGAAUUCCUAGUGUAGCAGUGAAAUGCGUAGAAAUUAGGAGGAACACCGGUGGCGAAAGCGGCUUUUUGGCCUGCAACUGACACUGAGGCGCGAAAGCGUGGGGAGCAAACAGG
Molecule: ribosomal RNA, 429 nt
Filed under: Verrucomicrobiota bacterium
Lineage: Bacteria; Pseudomonadati; Verrucomicrobiota
Description: Verrucomicrobia bacterium partial 16S ribosomal RNA
Rfam family: Bacterial small subunit ribosomal RNA
Source: RNAcentral